RNAcentral lists this ribosomal RNA (331 nucleotides) under Craspedacusta sowerbii. RNAcentral describes it as "partial 16S ribosomal RNA". It matches the Rfam family "Bacterial large subunit ribosomal RNA", at positions 1882 to 2332 of the family's 2925-position model. Lineage: Eukaryota; Metazoa; Cnidaria; Hydrozoa; Limnomedusae; Olindiidae. The record is from RNAcentral.
GCGUUUUGUGACUAAAACCUAAACAGAGACUAAAUGGCCGCGGUAACUCUGACCGUGAUAAUGUAGCGAAAUCAAUCGUCGUUUAAUUGACGACCCGUAUGAAAGGUUAAACGAAUCUCCCCCUGUCUCGAAAAUAAACCUCAUCGAAAUUGUAUGAGCAGUGAAGAUACUGCUAUCANAUUGCUAGACGAAAAGACCCUAUAGAGCUUAACUAUAUUCUCGAUCCACAACUUACCCUAUGAAGAUAGGAGUGCAUCGAGAGUGGUAGUUUGGUUGGGGCGACCUUCUUCUAUAACAAACGAAGAUAGACAAAGGCACAUCGAUUUUAAAU